This is a long non-coding RNA of Beta vulgaris subsp. vulgaris (sugar beet), 424 nucleotides long. RefSeq lists it as uncharacterized. The record is from RefSeq and is a predicted model, not a curated record. The transcript has 2 exons. NCBI's taxonomy places the organism in Eukaryota, Viridiplantae, Streptophyta, Magnoliopsida, Caryophyllales, Amaranthaceae.
UCUCCCGUAAGGCCGUAACCAAUGCUCCAUUUGCAAAUCUUACUCGCUUACCACACCCUGUGCUAGUUUAUAUAUAUCCAUUCUACAAACUAUGAAUUACUCAACUUUGACAAAAAUAAAAAUAAACAAGAUUCCACUUUCCAUCUUCGAACCACAGCAACUCCCACCUACUACCCUCAAAUAAAGCAAUGCAUUCAUGUACUUCCUCAACAUUGAAGAAAAAUAGAAAAGACAGAUUCCAAUUUACAGGAAUUUAUAUGAAGCAUCUCCAGUGGCAUCAAAGCCAGGCAUAUCCCAUAAACGGUACCCCGAUCAGCCUGUUCCACCAUCCAUAAAUGCUAUUUCUGGUAACAAGACACCUGAUACUGGUUCUCAAAAACCAAGGAUGAGGUGGACACCUGAGCUCCAUGAACGUUUUGUUGAA